CUCCCAUUGAUUUUUCCCGUUCAAAUCACCCUCUUAGAAAUUAAAUCAUUUUUCCUUCUCUUCCUCGUUUGGGCGGAUUAAGCUUACCCUAGCUUCAAACCCUCAUCUCCAAACUGACGGUCCAUCUCCCUAAAAAUCUUUAUUUUUCCUCUAAAAUCCUUUCUACUCUACCUCUCAUUAGGUCUCCUAAGCUGUUUGCAAGUCUCUGUUGUCCGAAAUGACUCCCAAAUUAAAGCUACCGUAGAAAAGAAAGUCUGUUCGUGGGUUAGAAGAGGAUGUACACAGAAAAAGAAUGGCAGC
RNAcentral lists this long non-coding RNA (300 nucleotides) under Elaeis guineensis (African oil palm). RNAcentral describes it as "long non-coding RNA (EGUI_LNC077816)". The record is from RNAcentral. Lineage: Eukaryota; Viridiplantae; Streptophyta; Magnoliopsida; Arecales; Arecaceae.